GCCUCUUACAUUGGGACAAACCAAAAGAAAUUCUGGCUAAUACCAAAUACUCCGCACAUAUCACAUGAUGUAUGCGGGAAAGCUUUGCGGUAAGAGAUGGGGUCGCGGCCCAUUAGGUAGACGGCGGGGUAGAAGCCCACCGUGCCGAUGAUGGGUAGCCGGGUUGAGAGACCGACCGGCCACAUUGGGACUGAGAUACGGCCCAGACUCCUACGGGAGGCAGCAGUA
RNAcentral lists this ribosomal RNA (228 nucleotides) under uncultured Eggerthella sp. Its description in RNAcentral is "partial 16S ribosomal RNA". It matches the Rfam family "Bacterial small subunit ribosomal RNA", at positions 128 to 355 of the family's 1533-position model. The record is from RNAcentral. Lineage: Bacteria; Bacillati; Actinomycetota; Coriobacteriia; Eggerthellales; Eggerthellaceae.